GCACCCACAACCAAGCUGAAUUAGACCCAUAGAAGAGGUGGUUUCACUAGUUUCUUGCAACCCCUCAGAACUCAAGUGACAAAUCCGACAAACCCUUUCUCCAUCCCAGUCCUUAAGACUGUCUCCUCCUCCACCAGCACAUUUCAUAUCAAUCACACAUGAUUGCUUCUCCCCUUUGGACACCUCUCCCUUUAACUCAUCCACCACUACCUUACUCGGUCCCAACCCACAGCCCUUGAUUUCCAAC
Molecule: unclassified non-coding RNA, 247 nt
Filed under: Hevea brasiliensis (rubber tree)
Lineage: Eukaryota; Viridiplantae; Streptophyta; Magnoliopsida; Malpighiales; Euphorbiaceae
Source: RNAcentral